UGGUCUUGACAUCCCGGGAAUCUCUUAGAAAUAAGAGAGUGCCUCAUUAGAGGAGCCUGGUGAC
This 64-nucleotide ribosomal RNA is filed under the name uncultured bacterium. RNAcentral's name for it is "partial 16S ribosomal RNA". The record is from RNAcentral.